GAGCUCGAUUCAACUAUAUCGUGCUCGAUUAAAAAGACGAGCUCGACGAACUCAAUCUGCUCUUAUCGACCUCAGUUAUUUUUAUCGAGCUCGGUUUGCCACGUAUUCUAUCGAGCACGGUUUGCCUCGCAUUCUAUAGGUAAUCUGGUACCAAGACUUGGGAGGGAGCAUGGGACGAGCGAGAGUGGCCAUGUUUCUGGCAAAUUUGUCGAGUUUAGUUCGUGAAUUCGGGACUUUUUAGGAGUAUGUUUUCGGUCGAAUUCGAAAGAAAUUAAGAAGAGUGACAGAAGAAGAGCAAAGAAUGAUUUAUACUGCUAAGGAGAUGAAGGAAAUGACACUAAGGUUAAUGAAAAUCAAGGUUUUCUUACCUACUACAGUUGCAGUAAGGUUGUUGUUGUUGUUGGCAGGAAAAUUCCCAAAGAAGGACACCUGCAAGUAAAACAAGGGAAGGGAAGUGUGCUGCUCAAAGGAAUCCUGCGUAACUAUCAUAAUUAAAAUACACAUUGUUCCUUUGAGCAU
This is a non-coding RNA of Pocillopora verrucosa, 519 nucleotides long. The record is from RefSeq and is a predicted model, not a curated record. Lineage: Eukaryota; Metazoa; Cnidaria; Anthozoa; Scleractinia; Pocilloporidae.